CCUAACACAUGCAAGUCGAACGGUAACAGGAAGAAGCUUGCUUCUUUGCUGACGAGUGGCGGACGGGUGAGUAAUGUCUGGGAAACUGCCUGAUGGAGGGGGAUAACUACUGGAAACGGUAGCUAAUACCGCAUAACGUCGCAAAACCAAAGAGGGGGACCUUCGGGCCUCUUGCCAUCGGAUGUGCCCAGAUGGGAUUAGCUAGUAGGUGGGGUAACGGCUCACCUAGGCGACGAUCCCUAGCUGGUCUGAGAGGAUGACCAGCCACACUGGAACUGAGACACGGUCCAGACUCCUACGGGAGGCAGCAGUGGGGAAUAUUGCACAAUGGGCGCAAGCCUGAUGCAGCCAUGCCGCGUGUAUGAAGAAGGCCUUCGGGUUGUAAAGUACUUUCAGCGGGGAGGAAGGGAGUAAAGUUAAUACCUUUGCUCAUUGACGUUACCCGCAGAAGAAGCACCGGCUAACUCCGUGCCAGCAGUCGCGGUAAUACGGAGGGUGCAAGCGUUAAUCGGAAUUACUGGGCGUAAAGCGCACGCAGGCGGUUUGUUAAGUCAGAUGUGAAAUCCCCGGGCUCAACCUGGGAACUGCAUCUGAUACUGGCAAGCUUGAGUCUCGUAGAGGGGGGUAGAAUUCCAGGUGUAGCGGUGAAGUGCGUAGAGAUCUGGAGGAAUACCGGUGGCGAAGGCGGCCCCCUGGACGAAGACUGACGCUCAGGUGCGAAAGCGUGGGGGAGCAAACAGGAUUAGAUACCCUGGUAGUCC
Molecule: ribosomal RNA, 761 nt
Filed under: uncultured bacterium
Lineage: Bacteria
Description: bacterial SSU rRNA
Rfam family: Bacterial small subunit ribosomal RNA
Source: RNAcentral